GCGCCUGUAGCUCAAUUGGAUAGAGUGAUUGCCUACGGAGCAAUAGGUUGAUGGUUCGAUCCCAUCCAGGCGCA
RNAcentral lists this transfer RNA (74 nucleotides) under Candidatus Omnitrophota bacterium. RNAcentral's name for it is "Candidatus Omnitrophica bacterium tRNA-Arg". It matches the Rfam family "tRNA". Rfam says of the family: Transfer RNA (tRNA) molecules are approximately 80 nucleotides in length. The record is from RNAcentral. Lineage: Bacteria; Pseudomonadati; Candidatus Omnitrophota.